CCUACGGGAGGCAGCAGUGGGGAAUAUUGCACAAUGGGGGAAACCCUGAUGCAGCGCCGCCGCGUGAGUGAAGAAGUAAUUCGUUAUGUAAAGCUCUAUCAGCAGGGAAGACAAUGACGGUACCUGAGUAAGACGCCCCGGCUAACUACGUGCCAGCAGCCGCGGUAAUACGUAGGGGGCAAGCGUUAUCCGGAUUUACUGGGUGUAAAGGGAGCGUAGCCGGCAGUGCAAGUCUGGAGUGAAAGGCGGGGGCUCAACCCCCGGACUGCUCUGGAAACUGUACGGCGGGAGUGCAGGAGAGGUAAGUGGAAUUCCUAGUGUAGCGGUGAAAGGCGUAGAUAUUAGGGGGAACACCAGUGGCGAAGGCGGCUGACUGGACUGUAACUGACGUUGAGGCUCGAAAGCGUGGGGAGCAAACAGGAUUAGAUACCCUGGUAGUC
RNAcentral lists this ribosomal RNA (440 nucleotides) under uncultured bacterium. Its description in RNAcentral is "partial 16S ribosomal RNA". It matches the Rfam family "Bacterial small subunit ribosomal RNA", at positions 338 to 795 of the family's 1533-position model. The record is from RNAcentral.